CUGAAACCUGUCAAAUAUAGUAAAAAUCUGAAAUGUAUCAAACCUCAUCAUAGAAUCUCUAUGGAUGAAAAUUCCAUGCUUGAAUAAUAAGAGUAGACCAGUAGGAAUAUACUUCUGACCAGGAUAGUGGUGAUUGUGAAAUGCUCCAGGGAGAUUAGAGAGGCUACACAAAACCCAAUAUCCCCAUAUUGACUGGGUGUAUGUAGCCUCAGGAAGGAAUGCAGAGAUAAAAAUUUCAAGAUACCACUAAUGACUGCUUCUUGGAGCAGCUAGUCCUGAAACCUACCAAGGAGAGGCAUUUAGUCUUAAGAGACUCACAGGAUUUGGUCCAAGAGGUGAAUGUAGCUGAACUGCUCAGUAAUAGUAACUCUAAGAUAAUUAAAUUUAACAUCUUUGAAGGGGAGAAGAUACCAAAGAAAUCCACCACAGUAGCAAUUGUCUUCAAAAGGGGGAACUUCAUAAAAAUGAGGAGGCUAGUUAAAUAGAAAUUAAAAAGAACAGUCACAAGAGUGGAAGGCCUGCAAGCUGUAUGAAAUCUUUAAAACCACCAUAGUAGAGGCUCAAAAUAAAUGUCUACCCCAGUUUAAAAAAAAAACAAAAAAACAG
Long non-coding RNA from Dermochelys coriacea (leatherback sea turtle), 606 nucleotides. RefSeq lists it as uncharacterized. The transcript is spliced from 2 exons. NCBI's taxonomy places the organism in Eukaryota, Metazoa, Chordata, Testudines, Dermochelyidae. The record is from RefSeq and is a predicted model, not a curated record.